RNAcentral lists this ribosomal RNA (484 nucleotides) under uncultured bacterium. RNAcentral describes it as "partial 16S ribosomal RNA". It matches the Rfam family "Bacterial small subunit ribosomal RNA", at positions 28 to 507 of the family's 1533-position model. The record is from RNAcentral.
AUUGAACGCUGGCGGCAUGCUUUACACAUGCAAGUCGAACGGCAGCGCGGGCUUCGGCCUGGCGGCGAGUGGCGAACGGGUGAGUAAUGCAUCGGAACGUGCCCCGCAGUGGGUUAUAGCCCGGUGAAAGCCGGAUUAAUACCGCAUACGACCUGAGGGUGAAAGCGGGGGACCGAAAGGCCUCGCGCUAUUGGAGCGGCCGAUGUCGGAUUAGCUAGUUGGUGGGGUAAAGGCUUACCAAGGCGACGAUCCGUAGCUGGUCUGAGAGGACGACCAGCCACACUGGGACUGAGACACGGCCCAGACUCCUACGGGAGGCAGCAGUGGGGAAUGUUGGACAAUGGGGGCAACCCUGAUCCAGCCAUGCCGCGUGCGGGAAGAAGGCCUUCGGGUUGUAAACCGCUUUUGUUCGGGAAGAAAUCCUCUGGGCUAAUACCCCGGGGGGAUGACGGUACCGGAAGAAUAAGCACCGGCUAACUACGUG